This 466-nucleotide long non-coding RNA is filed under the name Gallus gallus (chicken). The record is from RNAcentral. Lineage: Eukaryota; Metazoa; Chordata; Aves; Galliformes; Phasianidae.
GUCAGAAAUAGUGUGAAAGCCUCUAUUUCUGUUUCCCCAGAGGCAAGUACUUUGAAAGGAACCUGUUAAUAUUUCUGUGAUGUCUAAUCAACAGCUGGACUUCUAACAGUAUAGAUGUACCAUACAGAAAGUUGCACGUGGACUUCAAAACUCACAUUGUUCUAAAUGUCAUGAGAAUUUCACGAGAAAUGAAAAAAAAACAGCAAUGAGCGGAGUCAUUGCAAAGGUAUUUAGACACUGUGCACAAGGCAAGAGGCCAUCUUACUACCUUUAGGAGCAGAGUUUGAAGAUUUAGUUGUGUCUUGGCCAGUGCCAAGAAAAAAAGUGCAAUAAAAGGAUUGUGUUUAAAUCUGCAGAAACUGAGAUCCAGCCCAAAGCAAGACAGCGUGAAAAUAAGGAGCUGUGGAUCAAGCGGCUCACUGAGUGAGCUCGCCUGCCUGUUAGUCUUCACUGAAUGAAAACUGCU